RNAcentral lists this transfer RNA (74 nucleotides) under Actinomycetes bacterium. RNAcentral describes it as "Actinobacteria bacterium tRNA-Ala". It matches the Rfam family "tRNA". From Rfam's summary of the family: Transfer RNA (tRNA) molecules are approximately 80 nucleotides in length. Their secondary structure includes four short double-helical elements and three loops (D, anti-codon, and T loops). The record is from RNAcentral. Lineage: Bacteria; Bacillati; Actinomycetota; Actinomycetes.
GGGGACGUAGCUCAGCUGGCUAGAGCACCUGCUUUGCAAGCAGGGGGUCGAGGGUUCGACUCCCUUCGUCUCCA